UACGUAGGGGGCAAGCGUUGUCCGGAUUUAUUGGGCGUAAAGAGCUCGUAGGCGGUUUGUUGCGUCGGCCGUGAAAACCUGCAGCUUAACUGUGGGCCUGCGGCCGAUACGGGCAGACUUGAGUUCGGUAGGGGAGACUGGAAUUCCUGGUGUAGCGGUGAAAUGCGCAGAUAUCAGGAGGAACACCGGUGGCGAAGGCGGGUCUCUGGGCCGAUACUGACGCUGAGGAGCGAAAGCGUGGGGAGCGAACAGG
Molecule: ribosomal RNA, 253 nt
Filed under: uncultured bacterium
Lineage: Bacteria
Description: partial 16S ribosomal RNA
Rfam family: Bacterial small subunit ribosomal RNA
Source: RNAcentral